This is a non-coding RNA of Cercophora newfieldiana, 87 nucleotides long. Lineage: Eukaryota; Fungi; Ascomycota; Sordariomycetes; Sordariales; Lasiosphaeriaceae. The record is from the annotation of a GenBank genome assembly.
GCGCGGUUAGUUUAGUGGUUAGAAUUCUCGCUUCCCAAUCCCACAUUGGAUCAGCGAGGGACCCGAGUUCGAACCUCGGAUCGCGCA